Phyllopteryx taeniolatus (common seadragon) is the source of this 664-nucleotide long non-coding RNA. RefSeq lists it as uncharacterized. The record is from RefSeq and is a predicted model, not a curated record. The transcript has 2 exons. NCBI's taxonomy places the organism in Eukaryota, Metazoa, Chordata, Actinopteri, Syngnathiformes, Syngnathidae.
CAUGAACAAGAGCAUUGUGCAACAUCUCACUGCGACUUGGGUCUUCUUCCUCCUGGCACCAACUGAGCACCUCGACGGUGGCCUCGAUUACUUCAUUCAAGGCGGCGGGACGUGAGCCUCGAGGGAACCCACGACCAGAAGGAGAAGAAGUAUCUGCUGCUGCUUCGUCUGAAGAGCACGAUGGCAAACUGCAGCUCGUGUUUUUGGUGCAUCGUCUGGCUGGCGCUGCUGCUGUUCUUCGGCUGGCCCAUCGGGAUCACCCUGGGGGGUCUCUACGGCCUCAUCAGCCCCCUCACCACCUGCCUGGGCCUGGACCGACUUUCCGACCUGCUGCUGGAGGGCGCCAACCUGGGCCGCACUUGCGCCCUCAACAUGAGGCACUGCAAGCCGCUGUGUUGACCUUUUUUUUUUUUUUUUUUUUUCCCCCCCCUUUUCCUUUUACGGCCUCCCCGACGAGAUUGCAGUGACAAAAAAAAAAGGUCAAUACAAUGACUUGCCUUAGCAUGUAAGCUAGCACGAGUUUGUCAUUCGCUCGGCUUGAAACGAGCUUCGCAGCGUUUAAUUGACGAUGACGCUGCGCAGAGGAGAUAAGAAUUGAACAAUGGCGACGCUCUGACUUGUAAAUGCAAACUUGUAAUGCGAUUAAACCUGCUUUGAACUCGUG